AUUGAACGCUGGCGGCAGGCCUGACACAUGCAAGUCGAGCGGAUGAAGGGAGCUUGCUCCUGGAUUCAGCGGCGGACGGGUGAGUAAUGCCUAGGAAUCUGCCUGGUAGUGGGGGAUAACGUCCGGAAACGGGCGCUAAUACCGCAUACGUCCUGAGGGAGAAAGUGGGGGAUCUUCGGACCUCACGCUAUCAGAUGAGCCUAGGUCGGAUUAGCUAGUUGGUGGAGUAAAGGCCUACCAAGGCGACGAUCCGUAACUGGUCUGAGAGGAUGAUCAGUCACACUGGAACUGAGACACGGUCCAGACUCCUACGGGAGGCAGCAGUGGGGAAUAUUGGACAAUGGGCGAAAGCCUGAUCCAGCCAUGCCGCGUGUGUGAAGAAGGUCUUCGGAUUGUAAAGCACUUUAAGUUGGGAGGAAGGGCAGUAAGUUAAUACCUUGCUGUUUUGACGUUACCAACAGAAUAAGCACCGGCUAACUUCGUG
Molecule: ribosomal RNA, 484 nt
Filed under: uncultured bacterium
Lineage: Bacteria
Description: partial 16S ribosomal RNA
Rfam family: Bacterial small subunit ribosomal RNA
Source: RNAcentral